This 406-nucleotide ribosomal RNA is filed under the name uncultured bacterium. RNAcentral describes it as "partial 16S ribosomal RNA". It matches the Rfam family "Bacterial small subunit ribosomal RNA", at positions 30 to 526 of the family's 1533-position model. The record is from RNAcentral.
AUUGAACGCUGGCGGCAGGCCUAACACAUGCACGUCGAACGCGUGGCGGACGGGUGAGUAAUGUCUGGGACACUGCCUGAUGGAGGGGGAUAACUACUGGAAACGGUAGCUAAUACCGCAUACCAUCAGAUGUGCCCAGAUGGGAUUAGCUAGUUGGUGGGGUAACGGCUCACCUAGGCGACGAUCCCUAGCUGGUCUGAGAGGAUGACCAGCCACACUGUAACUGAGACACGGGCCAGACUCCGAGGGGAGGCAGCAGUGGGGAAUAUUGCACAAUGGGCGCAAGCCUGAUGCAGCCAUGCCGCGUGUAUGAAGAAGGCCUUCGGGUUGUAAAGUACUUUCAGCGAGGAGGCGUUACUCGCAGAAGAAGCACCGGCUAACUCCGUGCCAGCAGCCGCGGUAAUAC